RNAcentral lists this ribosomal RNA (430 nucleotides) under uncultured bacterium. RNAcentral's name for it is "bacterial SSU rRNA". It matches the Rfam family "Bacterial small subunit ribosomal RNA", at positions 28 to 489 of the family's 1533-position model. The record is from RNAcentral.
GACGAACGCUAGCGGCGUGCCUAAGGUAUGCAAGUCGAACGGGGGCUUCGGCCCCAGUGGCGAACGGUCGAGUAACACGUAGACAACCUGCCCGCAAGUGGGGGAUAACAGCUCGAAAGGGCUGCUAAUACCGCAUGUGGCCCGGGGGCGCUGGCCCUUGGUGCUAAAGAUUUAUUGCUUGCGGAUGGGUCUGCGGCCUAUCAGGUAGUUGGUGAGGUAACGGCCCACCAAGCCGACGACGGGAGCGGGUCUGAGAGGAUGAUCCGCCGGACGGGACUGAGACACGGCCCCGACUCCUUCGGGAGGCAGCAAUGAGGAAUAUUGCACAAUGGGCGAAAGCCUGAUGCAGCGACGCCGCGUGGGUGAGGAAGUUCUUCGGAAUGUAAAGCCCUUUUAUCGGGGACGAUUCAAGACGGUACCCGAUGAAUAA